RNAcentral lists this long non-coding RNA (706 nucleotides) under Linum usitatissimum (flax). RNAcentral's name for it is "long non-coding RNA (LUSI_LNC002557)". The record is from RNAcentral. Lineage: Eukaryota; Viridiplantae; Streptophyta; Magnoliopsida; Malpighiales; Linaceae.
AGCCGUUAUCGGAGAGCGGGAGAAGUGAAGGAGCGGAGGUGAGGGUGGCGGAGGGGAAGAAAAAGGAGGAUGGCGAGAGGAAAUAUGCGGAGGUGGCAAGCUUGUUGACGACGAAGGGGCCCACAUUCCUGGGAUUGUGAACCCUUCUCAACUUGCACGGUGGGUCAAGAUGUGAGGAACUGAUGACGCUUGAUUAACCUGGGACGUCAAAGUGCCUGCCUGAAGUGACGACUCUGUUUUUGCAACUUUAUUUCCUCUGUUUUUUCUUUUGUGUUGAGGACGGUGAUCGGAUGGGUACCGGCGGGGGGGGGGGGGGGCAUAUUUGUUGCGAAUUCUUGGUUGAAUAAUUAGGGGGAUUAGAGAUUCGUAUAGAAGAAAAGACAAGGCAAAUGAUGAAUAAUGAUAGCGUCCACUUCCACUGCAUGCAUGGUGAAUAAAGCACAUGAAUGAUGAUGAUGAUGAUGAUGAUGAUGAUGAUGUACCGGUAGGUAGUAGAAUGUAAGAGGAUUGGGUUGAAAGUGUUACUUACAGUUUGUAGUUGCAUUGAAAAUCAAUCGAAUCAGUUGCAAUUUAUUCAAGAUAUAUACUCUGUCUGCUAAUCUCUUUUAAUUUGUUGUCUGCUAUUAGCUGAUUUGCGGUUGUACUGAUUGUUUAUAUGAUACCGAUAUUGAUUUCCCGUUAGAAUGAAUGAAUGCGUAUCUGUUAG